RNAcentral lists this long non-coding RNA (236 nucleotides) under Lathyrus oleraceus (garden pea). RNAcentral's name for it is "Pisum sativum (pea) long non-coding RNA (PSAT_LNC022792)". Lineage: Eukaryota; Viridiplantae; Streptophyta; Magnoliopsida; Fabales; Fabaceae. The record is from RNAcentral.
CUAUUCUACUUUGCAUAAUAUUGCAUGAAUAAUUCAAUAGGUUAUAGGCAGCAACAGUAGAGAAUAUAAUAGCUAUUGCAUAAUAAAAUUAAAUAAGUAGCUUCAAUAAAAUGAUCAUAAUGUAAUAUUGGAAAGAAAAAAAAAACAAAAGAAAUGUGAAAAGGAAAUAAAUGCGAACAUGAAUUCAAAUAACAUUAAUGAAUAAUCUAACUUAAAACUAGAUAGCUAAGAAAAAU